RNAcentral lists this long non-coding RNA (744 nucleotides) under Vigna radiata. Its description in RNAcentral is "long non-coding RNA (VRAD_LNC016647)". The record is from RNAcentral. Lineage: Eukaryota; Viridiplantae; Streptophyta; Magnoliopsida; Fabales; Fabaceae.
GGAGAUGAGGGUUAGGCCUGGAUUCUCCCCAUGGUGUAGGUAGAAAGGACUGGCUGGGUUGGUGGACUGAUCUUUGUCACCCAUGGUAGCAGAAAACUAGAAAGAGUUCAAGAAAACUGGGCAGUGGGUAUGAUUCCUGCUCUUGAUACCAUAAAGAGAAAUGGGCCAAACCAAAGAAAUCAGGCCCAACACCGUAUAAACCAAAAUACAAUGCCCCAACGGACACAACCCAAAGCACCUUUUCGCUGGAAGCUUCCUUCGUCAGAUGGUAGAUGGGUGACGUGACAAUUAGAUGAGAACGAGAGAGGAGAAAAGCUCGGGGUCUUCCAUGGGAGUUAUGCAGCAGAGGGAGGCGCGUUCUUCACUGAGCAGAGAAGCAAAUGGAGGGUGGAAGAGAAGAAGAAGAAAACGGAAAACAGAGGUAAACACUAAAAGAACUCGUCUUGCUUUUGAGAAAAUAAUUUCGUAUUGCUCUAUGCUGAAUGUGUUACAUUGUUUGAAGAAAAGAAAAGAAAAGGAACUCUAUUUAUAGAGUUCGAGACAGUAAAAAAAGGAAACACUAAGAAAAACCAACUACUAACAGAAAAGGGGUGUUAUUACAGUAUUUAGACAGUAAUCCGCUGAACAAUAACUUUCAAUACUUUUAAAUGAUAAUUAAGAAAAAAAAAUAGUUGUUUUGUUUGAGAAAAUAUAUUAUUUUUUUAUUUUAAUUAUAAAAACAGUACAUCAUUUCACAUUGUUUUC